AUACAAUAUAGCGUAACACCGUUGAUAGCAGGAGCCUGGUUACAGGCUUAAACAUUCCCGCUGAGGUGAAGACCCGAACAGGUUCACGUGUUGAAUUCCUUAAAAGUCUUUGCCUUGCGAAAACGGCAAAGACUUUUUUUAUUCUAAAA
Molecule: non-coding RNA, 149 nt
Organism: Chloroflexi bacterium 44-23
Lineage: Bacteria; Bacillati; Chloroflexota
Source: Rfam